This is a long non-coding RNA of Bufo gargarizans (Asiatic toad), 208 nucleotides long. RefSeq lists it as uncharacterized. The transcript is spliced from 3 exons. The record is from RefSeq and is a predicted model, not a curated record. Lineage: Eukaryota; Metazoa; Chordata; Amphibia; Anura; Bufonidae.
CGAAUCAAAUUUUUCUAAACGUUUCUCGACACUAAUGCAAGAAAGAGAGAGAAAGAGGAGAACUUGGAAUCUAGAGAACAUGGCCAAGAGUCAGUAAGGUAUCAGCCAUUGAAGACAAUACAGACUUUACUGCCAUGGAGGGAUUACUGAGCAAAGAUAUGGCUGAAAAAAAUCAUCAUGGUGGUCUGGUCUGAAAGGAGAAGAAGAG